GGGUGACUGCGUACCUUUUGUAUAAUGGGUCAGCGACUUAUAUUCUGUAGCAAGGUUAACCGUAUAGGGGAGCCGCAGGGAAACCGAGUCUUAACUGGGCGUUAAGUUGCAGGGUAUAGACCCGAAACCCGGUGAUCUAGCCAUGGGCAGGUUGAAGGUUGGGUAACACUAACUGGAGGACCGAACCGACUAAUGUUGAAAAAUUAGCGGAUGACUUGUGGCUGGGGGUGAAAGGCCAAUCAAACCGGGAGAUAGCUGGUUCUCCCCGAAAGCUAUUUAGGUAGCGCCUCGUGAAUUCAUCUUCGGGGGUAGAGCACUGUUUCGGCUAGGGGGUCAUCCCGACUUACCAACCCGAUGCAAACUACGAAUACCGAAGAAUGUUAUCACGGGAGACACACGGCGGGUGCUAACGUCCGUCGUGAAGAGGGAAACAACCCAGACCGCCAGCUAAGGUCCCAAAGUCAUGGUUAAGUGGGAAACGAUGUGGGAAGGCCCAGACAGCCAGGAUGUUGGCUUAGAAGCAGCCAUCAUUUAAAGAAAGCGUAAUAGCUCACUGGUCGAGUCGGCCUGCGCGGAAGAUGUAACGGGGCUAAACCAUGCACCGAAGCUGCGGCAGCGACACUAUGUGUUGUUGGGUAGGGGAGCGUUCUGUAAGCCGUUGAAGGUGGCCUGUGAGGGUUGCUGGAGGUAUCAGAAGUGCGAAUGCUGACAUAAGUAACGAUAAUGCGGGUGAAAAACCCGCACGCCGGAAGACCAAGGGUUCCUGUCCAACGUUAAUCGGGGCAGGGUGAGUCGACCCCUAAGGCGAGGCCGAAAGGCGUAGUCGAUGGGAAACAGGUUAAUAUUCCUGUACUCGGUGUUACUGCGAAGGGGGGACGGAGAAGGCUAUGUUGGCCGGGCGACGGUUGUCCCGGUUUAAGCAUGUAGGCGGAUGUUCCAGGUAAAUCCGGAACGUCACUAACGCUGAGGUGUGAUGACGAGGCACUACGGUGCUGAAGUGACAAAUGCCCUGCUUCCAGGAAAAGCCUCUAAGCAUCAGGUAACAUCAAAUCGUACCCCAAACCGACACAGGUGGUCAGGUAGAGAAUACCAAGGCGCUUGAGAGAACUCGGGUGAAGGAACUAGGCAAAAUGGUGCCGUAACUUCGGGAGAAGGCACGCUGAUGGUAAGUGAAGCGACUUGCUCGUGGAGCUGAAAUCAGUCGAAGAUACCAGCUGGCUGCAACUGUUUAUUAAAAACACAGCACUGUGCAAACACGAAAGUGGACGUAUACGGUGUGACGCCUGCCCGGUGCCGGAAGGUUAAUUGAUGGGGUUAUCCUCGCGGAGAAGCUCUUGAUCGAAGCCCCGGUAAACGGCGGCCGUAACUAUAACGGUCCUAAGGUAGCGAAAUUCCUUGUCGGGUAAGUUCCGACCUGCACGAAUGGCGUAAUGAUGGCCAGGCUGUCUCCACCCGAGACUCAGUGAAAUUGAACUCGCUGUGAAGAUGCAGUGUACCCGCGGCAAGACGGAAAGACCCCGUGAACCUUUACUAUAGCUUGACACUGAACACUGGUCCUUGAUGUGUAGGAUAGGUGGGAGGCUUUGAAGUGUGGACGCCAGUCUGCAUGGAGCCAUCCUUGAAAUACCACCCUUUAAUGGCUGGUGUUCUAACGUGGGCCCCUGAUCGGGGUUGCGGACAGUGUCUGGUGGGUAGUUUGACUGGGGCGGUCUCCUCCUAAAGAGUAACGGAGGAGCACGAAGGUCAGCUAAUCCUGGUCGGACAUCAGGAGGUUAGUGCAAUGGCAUAAGCUGGCUUGACUGCGAGCGUGACGGCGCGAGCAGGUGCGAAAGCAGGUCAUAGUGAUCCGGUGGUUCUGAAUGGAAGGGCCAUCGCUCAACGGAUAAAAGGUACUCCGGGGAUAACAGGCUGAUACCGCCCAAGAGUUCAUAUCGACGGCGGUGUUUGGCACCUCGAUGUCGGCUCAUCACAUCCUGGGGCUGAAGUAGGUCCCAAGGGUAUGGCUGUUCGCCAUUUAAAGUGGUACGCGAGCUGGGUUUAGAACGUCGUGAGACAGUUCGGUCCCUAUCUGCCGUGGGCGCUGGAGAAUUGAGGGGGGCUGCUCCUAGUACGAGAGGACCGGAGUGGACGCAUCACUGGUGUUCGGGUUGUCAUGCCAAUGGCAUUGCCCGGUAGCUAAAUGCGGAAGAGAUAAGUGCUGAAAGCAUCUAAGCACGAAACUUGCCCCGAGAUGAGUUCUCCCUGACCCUUUAAGGGUCCUGAAGGAACGUUGAAGACGACGACGUUGAUAGGCCGGGUGUGUAAGCGCAGCGAUGCGUUGAGCUAACCGGUACUAAUGAACCGUGAGGCUUAACCUU
Molecule: ribosomal RNA, 2357 nt
Filed under: Klebsiella michiganensis
Lineage: Bacteria; Pseudomonadati; Pseudomonadota; Gammaproteobacteria; Enterobacterales; Enterobacteriaceae
Description: bacterial LSU rRNA
Rfam family: Bacterial large subunit ribosomal RNA
Source: RNAcentral